GAUGACUAUAGCGAGUUGGUACCACCCCUUCCCAUCCCGAACAGGACCGUGAAACGACUUUGCGCCGAUGAUAGUGCUGCAACCAGUGUGAAAGUAGGUCAUCGUC
Molecule: ribosomal RNA, 106 nt
Filed under: Herbaspirillum frisingense
Lineage: Bacteria; Pseudomonadati; Pseudomonadota; Betaproteobacteria; Burkholderiales; Oxalobacteraceae
Source: RNAcentral